UACGGGGGGGGCAAGCGUUGAUCGGAAUUACUGGGCGUAAAGAGCUCGUAGGUGGUUUGUCGCGUUGUUCGUGAAAACUCACAGCUUAACUGUGGGCGUGCGGGCGAUACGGGCAUCACUGGAGUUCGGCAGGGGAGACUGGAAUUCCUGGUGUAGCGGUGAAAUGCGCAGAUAUCAGGAGGAACGCCGGUGGCGAAGGCGGGUCUCUGGGCCGAUACUGACGCUGAGGAGCGAAAGCGUGGGGAGCAAACAGG
This 254-nucleotide ribosomal RNA is filed under the name uncultured bacterium. RNAcentral describes it as "partial 16S ribosomal RNA". It matches the Rfam family "Bacterial small subunit ribosomal RNA", at positions 524 to 776 of the family's 1533-position model. The record is from RNAcentral.